UGGGGAAUUUUGGACAAUGGGCGAAAGCCUGAUCCAGCAAUGCCGCGUGUGUGAAGAAGGCCUUCGGGUUGUAAAGCACUUUUGUCCGGAAGGAAAUCCUUGGCUCUAAUACAGUCGGGGGAUGACGGUACCGGAAGAAUAAGCACCGGCUAACUACGUGCCAGCAGCCGCGGUAAUACGUAGGGUGCAAGCGUUAAUCGGAAUUACUGGGCGUAAAGCGUGCGCAGGCGGUUUGCUAAGACCGAUGUGAAAUCCCCGGGCUCAACUUGGGAACUGCAUUGGUGACUGGCAGGCUAGAGUAUGGCAGAGGGGGGUAGAAUUCCACGUGUAGCAGUGAAAUGCGUAGAGAUGUGGAGGAAUACCGAUGGCGAAGGCAGCCCCCUGGGCCAAUACUGACGCUCAUGCACGAAAGCGUGGGGAGCAAACAGGAUUAGAUACCCUGGUAGUCCACGCCCUAAAACGAUGUCAACUAGUUGUUGGGGAUUCAUUUCCUUAGUAACGUAGCUAACGCGUGAAGUUGACCGCCUGGGGAGUACGGUCGCAAGAUUAAAACUUAAAGGAAUUGACGGGGUCAUAGCUGUUUCCU
RNAcentral lists this ribosomal RNA (586 nucleotides) under uncultured bacterium. RNAcentral's name for it is "partial 16S ribosomal RNA". It matches the Rfam family "Bacterial small subunit ribosomal RNA", at positions 355 to 1375 of the family's 1533-position model. The record is from RNAcentral.